Molecule: ribosomal RNA, 118 nt
Organism: Sinocyclocheilus rhinocerous
Lineage: Eukaryota; Metazoa; Chordata; Actinopteri; Cypriniformes; Cyprinidae
Source: Ensembl
ACUUAAAAAAAAAAAAAAAGUCUGCACCCGAUCUCGUCGGAUCUCGGAAGCUAAGCAGGGUCGGGCCUGGUUAGUACUUAGAUGGGAGAUGGGCUGGGAAUACCAGGUGCUGUAAGCU